GACGAACGCUGGCGGCGUGCCUAAUACAUGCAAGUCGAGCGGACGAAUCGAAAGCUUGCUUUUGAUUCGUUAGCGGCGGACGGGUGAGUAACACGUGGGCAACCUGCCCUGUAGACGGGGAUAACACCGAGAAAUCGGUGCUAAUACCGGAUAACACGAAAUGUCGCAUGACGUUUCGUUGAAAGACGGCGCAAGCUGUCGCUACAGGAUGGGCCCGCGGCGCAUUAGCUAGUUGGUGAGGUAACGGCUCACCAAGGCGACGAUGCGUAGCCGACCUGAGAGGGGGAUCGGCCACACUGGGACUGAGACACGGCCCAGACUCCUACGGGAGGCAGCAGUAAGGAAUCUGCCGCAAUGGACGAAAGUCUGACGGAGCAACGCCGCGUGAGCGAAGAAGGCCUUCGGGUCGUAAAGAUCUGUUGUUAGGGAAGAACAAGUAACGCAGUAACUGGCGUUACCGUGACGGUACCUAACGAGAAAGCCACGGCUAACUACGUG
RNAcentral lists this ribosomal RNA (498 nucleotides) under uncultured bacterium. Its description in RNAcentral is "partial 16S ribosomal RNA". It matches the Rfam family "Bacterial small subunit ribosomal RNA", at positions 28 to 507 of the family's 1533-position model. The record is from RNAcentral.